GGGCGCAAGCUGAUCCAGCCAUGCCGCGUGAGUGAAGAAGGCCUUAGGGUUGUAAAGCUCUUUUACCAGGGACGAUAAUGACGGUACCUGGAGAAUAAGCCCCGGCAAACUUCGUGCCAGCAGCCGCGGUAAUACGAAGGGGGCUAGCGUUGUUCGGAAUUACUGGGCGUAAAGCGCACGUAGGCGGGUCGUUAAGUCAG
RNAcentral lists this ribosomal RNA (200 nucleotides) under uncultured bacterium. RNAcentral describes it as "partial 16S ribosomal RNA". It matches the Rfam family "Bacterial small subunit ribosomal RNA", at positions 373 to 591 of the family's 1533-position model. The record is from RNAcentral.